Molecule: ribosomal RNA, 501 nt
Filed under: uncultured bacterium
Lineage: Bacteria
Description: partial 16S ribosomal RNA
Rfam family: Bacterial small subunit ribosomal RNA
Source: RNAcentral
AUUGAACGCUGUCGGCAGGCUUAACACAUGCAAGUCGAGCGGAGAUGAGGUGCUUGCACCUUAUCUUAGCGGCGGACGGGUGAGUAAUGCUUAGGAAUCUGCCUAUUAGUGGGGGACAACAUUCCGAAAGGAAUGCUAAUACCGCAUACGUCCUACGGGAGAAAGCAGGGGAUCUUCGGACCUUGCGCUAAUAGAUGAGCCUAAGUCGGAUUAGCUAGUUGGUGGGGUAAAGGCCUACCAAGGCGACGAUCUGUAGCGGGUCUGAGAGGAUGAGCCGCCACACUGGGAAUGAGACACGGCCCAGACUCCUACGGGAGGCAGCAGUAGGGAAUAUUGGACAAUGGGGGAAACCCUGAUCCAGCCAUGCCGCGUGUGUGAAGAAGGCCUUAUGGUUGUAAAGCACUUUAAGCGAGGAGGAGGCUACUGAGACUAAUACUCUUGGAUAGUGGACGUUACUCGCAGAAGAAGCACCGGCUAACUCUGUGCCAGCCGCCGCCGUAA